UUAGGGUCUUAAGUCGGUCACAAGAUCGGCCAAAACAAGCACGAGGUCGCCCAGACCAAUCAAAACUCGAUAAAUGUUACUCCACGGGCGCUCCGGGACACUAAUCGGUCUCCGAUUGGUUUCCUCCAUUUUUUAUGGAUAAACAUCAUCCAAAAUGCAUAAGCUCGACCCUAAAGGAUAAGGAUGACCGGAAUUGUGGAUAAGCUUGAGCCUUAACGGAUAAACAUGAACCAUAGUUCAAUCUGCUUUUCCAAGCUUUCCUGAACGUCCAUGGAAGAGCAAGUGAGGGUGAUGGAGCUGGCUUGAAUCGUUUCACCAUCCUCUCGAUUAUAGCAGCCUUCUCCUCCAAGUCAGACUGAGCCUGAUAGAAAGGUUGAGCUGAAUAGUCGAUCUCAGCAACAGAGACUUCAAUCUGAGUGGAAGCCUCCCCUUCUUGAAUUACGCUGUCCUCAGUGUUUGAUGUAGAGACAUGUUGAGUUGGCAGGCUCUCGCUCAUGUCUGAUAGUGAUUGCGUGUGCAGUGGCGUACUCCUUAGGGUUUUGGAUUGCUUUUCCUGGAAGCUGGCCUGGGUUGUUUGUAACAGGUGGUGAAGUAGUGACGCCGUCUAGAUACCGUACCCUUGUGUUCAAUGAUUCCAACCUGCUACUCAGUUCAUUGAACUGUCUGUCAACUUUGUUGUUUAAGUCAGCUAUCUUCUUAGCAGAUUCCAUUACCCCUGCGGCUUGACCUUGCAUGAUCUGUUGGAGCAUAUUCUUGAUGUCUGAUUCCUGGGGUGCAGAGGCCUGAUGUUGUUGUGGUGUGAAACCAGGUGGUGGCUGUUGCUGUUGAUACCCUCCUUGGAACUGUUGCUUAGGAACGAACCCUAGGCUUUGGUUGUAAGUAACAAACGGUUUGGGUUGGUUCUGCUGCAGCUGCUGUUGAAGGUAAACUUGGUCCUGAGGAUUGGCGACAUUUGUGCUUCUGUAUGACAGAUUUGGGUUGGGUCUGUAAUUGUUGUACCCUUUGUUGUAGCCGCCUUGGUUCUGAACAUAACUGAUUUCAGCGCCCUGAUCAUUCUCCCCCUCUUGGAUUUGGAAUACUUCGUCUUCAGAGGCGAAGUGAACAUGCUUCUGCUGCACUUGGAGGAGUUUGUCGAUUUUGUCAUGGAGAGCUUUAAUCUCUCGGCGGUGCUUGUCAUCAGAUUCAUUACUGGUGCAGAUGCUUCUGUCAUAAUCCUCGUUGUAAUUGCCAUCCGACUGAGCCAAGUUUUCAACUAGCUCCCAUCCGUCUUCGACAUCCUUGUUCAGGAAAUUCCCGUUGGAGGCGGUGUCAAGGAGCAUACGUAUCUUAGGCAGGACGCCUCUGUAAAGUGUGCUGAGAAGAGAUGCUUCCUUAAAUCCGUGAUGAGGGCAUUUGGUUUGAUAACCCUUAAAGCGCUCCCAAGCUUCACAGAAGCUUUCAUUUUGCUUCUGAGUGAAUCCGGAUAUCUCGUUCCGGAGUCUUGCAGUCCUGGAGUUGGAGAAGAAUUUUGCCAAGAAGGCCUUUUUGCAGUCAUCCCAGGUCGUGAUUGAUCCCUGGGGUAGCGUUUUUUCCCACAGAUGGGCUUUAUCUCCAAGUGAAAAUGGGAACAAGCGAAGCUUGAAACCAUCUUCACUAACUCCAUUGAUUUUAGUAAGGC
This 1657-nucleotide small RNA is filed under the name Arabidopsis thaliana (thale cress). RNAcentral's name for it is "ATSL203660". The stretch from base 1375 to 1481 matches the Rfam family "Plant small nucleolar RNA R71". The record is from RNAcentral. Lineage: Eukaryota; Viridiplantae; Streptophyta; Magnoliopsida; Brassicales; Brassicaceae.